GAUGAACGCUGGCGGCGUGCCUAAUACAUGCAAGUCGAGCGAACAGACGAGGAGCUUGCUCCUCUGACGUUAGCGGCGGACGGGUGUGUAACACGUGGAUAACCUACCUAUAAGACUGGGAUAACUUCGGGAAACCGGAGCUAAUACCGGAUAAUAUAUUGCACCGCAUGGUUCAAUAGUGAAAGACGGUUUUGCUGUCACUUAUAGAUGGAUCCGCGCCGCAUUAGCUAGUUGGUAAGGUAACGGCUUACCAAGGCAACGAUGCGUAGCCGACCUGAGAGGGUGAUCGGCCACACUGGAACUGAGACCAGGUCCAGACUCCUGAGGGAAGCAGCAGUAGGGAAUCUUACGCAAUGGGCGAAAGCCUGACGGAGCAACGCCGCGUGAGUGAUGAAGGUCUUCGGAUCGUAAAACUCUGUUAUUAGGGAAGAACAAAUGUGUAAGUAACUAUGAACGUCUUGACGGUACCUAAUCAGAAAGCCACGGCUAACUACGUG
RNAcentral lists this ribosomal RNA (497 nucleotides) under uncultured bacterium. RNAcentral's name for it is "partial 16S ribosomal RNA". It matches the Rfam family "Bacterial small subunit ribosomal RNA", at positions 28 to 507 of the family's 1533-position model. The record is from RNAcentral.